GGAGGGUAUAUAGCUCAGUGGUAGAGUGCGUGCUUAGCAUGCACGAGGUCCUGGGUUCAAUCCCCAGUACCUCCA
Molecule: transfer RNA, 75 nt
Filed under: Vicugna pacos (alpaca)
Lineage: Eukaryota; Metazoa; Chordata; Mammalia; Artiodactyla; Camelidae
Description: tRNA-Ala (AGC) (tRNA-Ala-AGC-585-1, tRNA-Ala-AGC-585-2)
Rfam family: tRNA
About the family: Transfer RNA (tRNA) molecules are approximately 80 nucleotides in length. Their secondary structure includes four short double-helical elements and three loops (D, anti-codon, and T loops). Further hydrogen bonds mediate the characteristic L-shaped molecular structure. tRNAs have two regions of fundamental functional importance: the anti-codon, which is responsible for specific mRNA codon recognition, and the 3' end, to which the tRNAs corresponding amino acid is attached (by aminoacyl-tRNA synthetases). tRNAs cope with the degeneracy of the genetic code in two manners: having more than one tRNA (with a specific anti-codon) for a particular amino acid; and 'wobble' base-pairing, i.e. permitting non-standard base-pairing at the 3rd anti-codon position.
Source: RNAcentral